Delphinapterus leucas (beluga whale) is the source of this 3603-nucleotide non-coding RNA. The record is from RefSeq and is a predicted model, not a curated record. NCBI's taxonomy places the organism in Eukaryota, Metazoa, Chordata, Mammalia, Artiodactyla, Monodontidae.
CAUUGCUCUGACCACGUGUUAUCAACCCCGUGACAGUCCACUGUGAGCCCUGGUGACUCCAGAGGCAAAGGAAAGGCUCUUUCUGAUCAUGCUGAGACAAAGAUGCAGCAGAAUCACCCAUGGGACUUCCUAAUCAAGGAUGGUCACACUCUGCCCCUGAAGACUGUGAUUUGGCAGCUACACAUUCCUACCUGCUGUGAAAUAAACCCAGCCUUCCUACCAGGGUCUGUUGAUUCAGCUUUGCCGUCUGGAGCAGUCUAGCAUUCACAGCCUGAACGGAAUAAUGCUGCUUUGGUCAGAGGCUCUGCCGGGAGCAAAGUUUGCGGUGCUGGUUCUUAAACUACUGCUACCAUGAGACUGACCAAAAUUGGGGACUUGGAUUCCAGAGCCCCUGCUUUUGACCGAGAGACCUCCCAGCUAAGAGCUAGAAUUCAUAAGAAUGUGUUAGAUCUCAGUGCUAGAACAUAUGAGCCAAAUUGCAUUUCGUGUCUCCAUCUUCCACUGUCUAUUAUUUAAGGAAAACCAGCUGCUUACUACUGCAAUAAGGUUCUCUGCAUUCCCUUUGCCUCACCAGACCUUCACAUGACCUGUCAACCGCUACGUGUAUUAUCACCUCCUCAGAUAGCCUUCCCUGCCCACGCUGUUGACACGGGGCUGCCCAGUAGACACAUCAGGUCUUUGAAAUCUGGCACGUUUCUUCAGGACAUCUCAAUUUGGACGAACUACAUUGCGACCGGUGGCUACUGUACUGGACCACACAGACUUAAAAUAACACCCCACCUCCAGCCACUCUCUAUCACAUUACUCUGAUUUAUCAUUAUUGGAAGAUUUAUUUGUGUUUGAAAUCAUCCUAUUUGUUUAUUUACUUGUAUAUUAUCUCUCCCUCCAUCCCUUAUGAACCCCCUGCCCUGAAAUGAAAAGUCUAAAGGACCAGGGGCUUCUUUUUAUUCUUUGCUGUAUCCACAGAGCUUAGUAUAUUGCCAGUUUUCAGUAAAUAUUUGUUGGAAGUUUGAUGAAUAAGAAACUGAUGUGCUGUUAAAACAAUGAGUCCAUGUGGCUUUUGCUUUUUGAGUCUUCCCUCCCUCGUGCUAGGUUUCAGGUCAGUGGAAGAAAUAAUGACCACACUUUGCUGUCCCUUUUCCCCUUCCCCAUCCAUGUCCUCCUGUAACUCUCCUGUGUUGUCUGUAUCCUACCAAUUUUCUGAUACAUGACUGUUUUCUUAAGAGAAAGCACUUUCCAGUCCACUGUUAAAGCUGCUCUCAAGUUAGCAUUCAACUCGUACUAAGCAGGAGAAAAAAAAAAAAAAAGCAAACAUCUGGACUUUCUCUUCUUUCCCCUACUAACGAUUAUAAGAUUUUUUCAGAAGGUAGUCAGGCUGUAACUUGUAUUUAUUAUACUUUCAGUCAAUGGGAGGAAACCCUGGAUCUGUGAUUAGCUGUAGGCCUUGUGGAAACUGCCCUGAGGCCCGGAGGUCUGGAGGUUUCCUUCCACUGCUCCUCUAGAUGUGACCCAGUCUUGCCUGUGUGACAGUGGUCAAGGGCUCCAGAUUUGCCUGUGCUCAUUUCCUCCAUCUGUCAAAGGAAAGUCACAAUCGUUGCUUAUUUCCAGUAUAAGACUAUAGAGAAAAAUCAAUUAAAAUUUUUUCUUAAAAAAAAGGCUAUAGAGAAAAUAACCAGAAAGUAUAUUAUGCCCAGUAAUGAAAAGCAUUGUUGCUGUUCAUACAAAGCAAUAGGUACUGACCUGGUACCUAGGAUUCUGUUCUAAACGCAGGUAUCACAAUAAAAAUGGUUAGAGUCUUAGAGACUGGGUCAGUAUGUGAGGUAAAUGGUAAAAUGCAAGUGGGGUUUGAAAAGAAUUCUUACCCUUUCUACAGUUAGAGAAGUUUGUGGAAAGAGAAAAGUUUCUGCAAGCUUGUUUUGGCAUUUAAUUACCUUGGCAUAAAACUACUCCUGGGUGAAACAUAAUGAAGAGAAAGUUGACCCAAUUCAACCCAUCCUCUACAUACCAUUUUCUCUCUCUCUCCCCUGGCUUAUUGAAAUUGUGCUCCAGAAUAAACUUGGCUAUGGUUUAUUCACAAAACCUAAAUAAGGGUUGUCACAUUUAAGAAUGUUGAGCUCUCAAUUCAGAAUUCACUCAUUCAUUUAAAAAAAUAUGUACCGUGCACCUACUAUGUAUAAAAAGAGUUGAAAUGCAAACAUAAAUAAGACCCUCAGGGGGCUUCCAUUUCAGCAGAUAAUACAUUCAUUAAACAGCAAUUUCUGUGAUUAAUUAUUCAAUUACAAUCAUAAUGAGUACCUUGAGGUGGUGUGAAAAGAUUUAAUGGAGUCCUGAUUUAGUCUUCCCCCCAAAGUGUCUGGUCAGAUAAAUCCCGAGAGGAGGGUUUAGUGGGCGAAGGGGGUUAGGGAGAUUUUCAGGCGGAGGGAGCAGCAGGUGUCAAUGUACUGAGAUAGGAGGAACCUGGCAGAGGCACCAGAAUAAGCAAUGGCUAGCUUAUAAAUAAGCAAUGCUCCCCCAAAGGGCUCCCCGAUGGGAGCGAGCUAAGAGAGGAACAAGGGGCUAAGACAGCAACAAGGCCCAGAGCCCAGAGUCUCUUCUGUUCUCCCCAACAGGGCCAACUAUAACCGAUUGCUUGAUCCUCUCUAUUCAUUGACUUAGCUUUUUAGCACCUACUUCUUAUGUUAAGCCCUCAAAGGUUGUGGCUUUCCCAUGCGCCAUGAGCAGAUGUACAAAUCCCUCUAUACUCUUGUCUGGAGGAUUCCUGUGCUGAGUCAUCUGCUGCAGUAGCAGACGAGAAGCACCAGGGGACAGAAAGCCUUCUCCUCUGUUUGCUUUGGUAGAACACAACAUGAUGAAAAUGUACACUAAUUCGAUCUAAAAUGUUGAAUGAAGAAUUAGCAAGUGUGGCUACUACCAGGUUCUGAGCUCACUACCUCUCUAAUCUUGGCCGAGCAUCACAAAAACAAACAAGCAAAAUUUUUAGUGAGUUUACUGAGUAUGAUUUAAUGUGCUCAGAAUUAAGCCAGGAAGCUUAACUAACAUGUCUUAAUGAAGCUGUGGCAGACACACGAUGAUGGUGGAAAAACAAACAAUCAAGGGCCAUUUGAGGGGACUUCUCAAAACCUGGUACCAGGAAGCAAAAAAGUUCAGUUUUCAGCUCUCUUUCAAGACUGCUUCUACAUCGGAAUUAGGGUUGGCAGGAGACCUUAAGAGAGAUGUAGAAGGUUUUAAAUGUGCAAUCAGUUGGGCCAAUGCAAUUCGAGAGUUGCUAUGCUGUUAAUAGGAAGACAGUGCACCUUCCACUGGAUGGAAGUUAUAUUCAGUCUCACCAGGUUUAUGCUAAACUUCUGGCAGCUAUGUUUCCAACACAUGAUACCUAUGGGGAAAACAGAAAAAUAGACAAGGGUACUCAUCACUACAAAUAGGUCAUGGACUGGGUAGCAUUAGCCUCACAUUGAUCUCGUCUUCCUGAUUGCUGCAGAUGGAAGUCUCAUGCCAGCCACGCGUCAAACCAAAUAAUUAGCAGAUGUCACCAAUGGUAAUCUCCUGAUGUUUAAAAAUGGAACAAGUGGGGCUUCCCUGGUGGCGCAGUGGUUGAGAGUCCGC